RNAcentral lists this ribosomal RNA (402 nucleotides) under uncultured bacterium. RNAcentral's name for it is "bacterial SSU rRNA". It matches the Rfam family "Bacterial small subunit ribosomal RNA", at positions 28 to 431 of the family's 1533-position model. The record is from RNAcentral.
GAUGAACGCUAGCGGCAGGCCUAACACAUGCAAGUCGAGGGGCAGCACGUCUUCGGAUGGUGGCGACCGGCGCACGGGUGCGUAACGCGUAUGCAACCUACCUCUUACAGUGGGAUAGCCCAGAGAAAUUUGGAUUAAUACCGCAUAGUAUACAGAUUCAGCAUUGGGACUGUAUUAAACAUUUANGGGUAAGAGAUGGGCAUGCGUUCUAUAGUUAGUUGGAGUGGUAACGGCACCCCAAGACAGCGAUAGAUAGGGGCCCUGAGAGGGGGAUCCCCCACACUGGUACUGAGACACGGACCAGACUCCUACGGGAGGCAGCAGUGAGGAAUAUUGGACAAUGGGCGAGAGCCUGAUCCAGCCAUGCCGCGUGCAGGAAGACGGCCCUAUGGGUUGUAAACU